Long non-coding RNA from Myripristis murdjan (pinecone soldierfish), 1225 nucleotides. RefSeq lists it as uncharacterized. The transcript is spliced from 5 exons. The record is from RefSeq and is a predicted model, not a curated record. NCBI's taxonomy places the organism in Eukaryota, Metazoa, Chordata, Actinopteri, Holocentriformes, Holocentridae.
CUGAGGAGCAGCAUUGAAAAACCACAGCGUUGUGCCACGCAGGGCUGAGAAUCAUUCCAACCAAAAACCACAUCAGGGGAAAUUCAGGAUUCAGGAUUUCACUGAUUACCUCACUUUCAAGGAGAAGAGACUAAUCUGUGAGAUCACCUGGAGGAGUUUUUGGUUGGAAUAAAAACCUGCAGCUCUCAGCUCUGAGCUCUCCCUGCCUCAGUCCUCGAGGUCCAGCGUUUCCACUGGAGAAGGUUGUUGUUCGUUCUUGGUUAAUGAGCCACACCUGCAUCCACCUGACACCAGGCUGUGAACAGGGAACAAGUGAUCCAUCAUCAAGACACUGGAGUCAGUGUAAAGAAGACUGACAACCUGCUGGAUGAUGACUUCCAGCCAGCCUGUUUCCAGCAGCUCUGGUUUAUUUCCACUCUGAUGUCAAGACAGUGAGAAAAAGAGACGCCUCACAUCGGAGCACCUUGCUGCGUCUCCUGCUGACCUUAGCUUGAGUCUCACCCUCCCUCCAGCGCUGCUUUCACUUGAAUUGUAUGACGCAUAUGCUGAAACAGGUGCACCUUCAAAGUCUGAGGGUGAGCGGGACUCACUCAUGAUAUAUUUUUAAAUUAAACAUUCAUGUCAAGGAUCAAGUAAAUUAUUGAGGGCAGACCCUCAUGAUAUUUUAAAGGUGCCGGGUAAAGGAUUUGCUCUAAGCAUUUAGCUGUCUAGUAAAUUAUGAUUGUGAACAUCACUGCAACAGAUCCUACAUGUGUUACCUCUAAGCAGUUUUUAUGAGAUUCCAGUGUGGUGUAAAGUGUGCUUGUUCUGACUGAACUGUUUUACUCAGUCAAUGGGAUAUUUAAUCAGUCAAAUCCCAUAUACCUUUACUUUCACACAUAAUGUGCCGAUCUGAUCUUGAUAGCCAGUGUCCUCCAAGAACAGCCACUGGAGCCCUGGAUCCCAUUCUUGCAGCUAAGCAGAUCUUUAAAAGGUGGAAAUCAACCUCAUUUGCUUUUCAUCGUCCUCUAGCCUCUGUGGUUUCUAAUCAGUGGUUUUUCUGCACAAAAUGCACAAUGCCCUCUGCCCACGCUCCUAGUAACCAUCAUUUGUGUCACUGACUGGGUAUGGGUGAGGCUGUGUGUUCAUGCCUCAUUCAUACCUCAACCAUCCUCUUUAUUAAUUCCUAUCAGGCUGGUUAUGCAAAAGCUCCUGAGCUCACCAGAUAUGCACAAGUCACAUCAUC